CUUGCAUACCUAUAAGAGGUCCAGCCUGCCCAGUGACUCUGUUCAACGGCCGCGGUAUCCUAACCGUGCGAAGGUAGCGUAAUCACUUGUUCUUUAAAUGAGGACUAGUAUGAAUGGCAUCACGAAGGUUAUACUGUCUCCUCUUUCCAAUCAGUGAAACUAAUCCCCCCGUGAAGAAGCGGGGAUAACUUUAUAAGACGAGAAGACCCUAUGGAGCUUUAAACUAAGAAUCAACUGACUUUUCCACUUUUAAAUUCCAGAAAACUAACUUUUACCAAGACACUCUGAUUUCUAGUUUUAGGUUGGGGUGACCACGGAGUAAAAACUAACCUCCGCAAUGAACAGGGAUCUUCCCUUAACCAAGGACCACAACCCUAAGAAUCAACACAUUGACAUCAAUUGACCCAAAAAAUUUGAUCAAUGAAC
RNAcentral lists this ribosomal RNA (426 nucleotides) under Leptodactylus knudseni group sp. ABGD cluster 32. RNAcentral's name for it is "partial large subunit ribosomal RNA". It matches the Rfam family "Bacterial large subunit ribosomal RNA", at positions 1834 to 2457 of the family's 2925-position model. Lineage: Eukaryota; Metazoa; Chordata; Amphibia; Anura; Leptodactylidae. The record is from RNAcentral.